This 401-nucleotide ribosomal RNA is filed under the name uncultured bacterium. RNAcentral describes it as "bacterial SSU rRNA". It matches the Rfam family "Bacterial small subunit ribosomal RNA", at positions 29 to 431 of the family's 1533-position model. The record is from RNAcentral.
AUUAAACGCUGGCGGCAUGCCUUACACAUGCAAGUCGAACGGCAGCACGGGAGCUUGCUCCUGGUGGCGAGUGGCGGACGGGUGAGUAAUACAUCGGAACGUGCCCUGGAGUGGGGGAUAACGCAGCGAAAGCUACGCUAAUACCGCAUAUUCUGUGAGCAGGAAAGCAGGGGAUCGCAAGACCUUGCGCUCUAGGAGCGGCCGAUGUCGGAUUAGCUAGUUGGUGGGGUAAAGGCCCACCAAGGCGACGAUCCGUAGCGGGUCUGAGAGGAUGAUCCGCCACACUGGGACUGAGACACGGCCCAGACUCCUACGGGAGGCAGCAGUGGGGAAUUUUGGACAAUGGGCGGAAGCCUGAUCCAGCCAUGCCGCGUGAGUGAAGAAGGCCUCGGUUGUAAGAC